Molecule: ribosomal RNA, 923 nt
Filed under: Macaca fascicularis (crab-eating macaque)
Lineage: Eukaryota; Metazoa; Chordata; Mammalia; Primates; Cercopithecidae
Description: partial 16S ribosomal RNA
Rfam family: Bacterial large subunit ribosomal RNA (bases 155-923)
Source: RNAcentral
GCCAAUACUAGCCCUAAGCACAACCAACACUAAUACCAAACCAACACACACUAAACCAUUCACCUACACAAAGUAUAGGCGAUAGAAAUUUUAAUCUGGCGCUAUAGACAUAGUACCGUAAGGGAAAAGGUAAAAAACCACCCAAGCACAAAACAGCAAGGACUAACUCCUGUACCUUUCGCAUAAUGAAUUAGCUAGAAACAAUUUCACAAAGAGAACUACAAGCCAAACCCCCCGAAACCAGACGAGCUACCCAAAAACAGCUAAAAGAGCGCACCCGCCUAUGUGGCAAAAUAGUGGGAAGAUUUCUGGGUAGAGGUGACAAGCCUACCGAGCCUGGUGAUAGCUGGUUAUCCAAGACAGAAUCUUAGUUCAACCUUAAGCUUACCUACAGAACUAUCUAAUCCCCCUGUAAGCUUAACUGCUAGUCUAAAGAGGGACAGCUCUUUAGACACUAGGAAAAAACCUUACAGAGAGAGUAAAACCCUCAAUCACCAUAGUUGGCUUAAAAGCAGCCAUCAAUUAAGAAAGCGUUCAAGCUCAACACUAACCACCACAAAAAUACCAAACACAUAACUGAACUCCUCACACCACAUUGGAUUAAUCUAUCACCAUAUAGAAGCAAUAAUGCUAGUAUAAGUAACAUGAAUAUUUUCUCCACUGCAUAAGCCUAAAUCGGACCGAAAGCCUCACCGAUAUUUAACAGCCAGGCAUAACAAGCACAAACAAGCCCAUGCCACCUUCACUGUUAACCCAACACAGGCAUGCCCCAAGGAAAGGUUAAAAAAAGUAAAAGGAACUCGGCAAACCCAAACCCCGCCUGUUUACCAAAAACAUCACCUCUAGCAUUACUAGUAUUAGAGGCACUGCCUGCCCAGUGACACACGUUUAACGGCCGCGGUACCCUGACCGUGCAAAGGUAG